Anolis carolinensis (green anole) is the source of this 1625-nucleotide long non-coding RNA. RefSeq lists it as uncharacterized. NCBI's taxonomy places the organism in Eukaryota, Metazoa, Chordata, Lepidosauria, Squamata, Anolidae. The record is from RefSeq and is a predicted model, not a curated record. The transcript has 2 exons.
UUGUUGUUGUUGUUGUUGUUGUUGUUGUUAUUAUUAUUAUUUUACUAACAGAAAAAAACCUGUCAAUGGAUCAUUGAGAUGAAAUUGCUGCUUCAUAAGGAAUAAUAAUAAUAAUAAUAAUAAUAAUAAUAAUAAUAAUAAUAAUGGGACUCAGGGUGGUUCACAUACAUAUAAAAGACAAAAAUUCAAUGCCAUAAUUAAGAUCGCACAAUAUCAAGGGUGGGAAUUAAACAUUAAAAGGCUUAUUACCAUAAAAAUUUAAAUUAAAUAUAAGAGAUACAAACACUUAAAUAAAACAUAAUUACAUCAAUAAAACAGAAUUGCGCAAAAACCUGUAUCCUAGACAGUUAAAAAAUAACCAAACUUCAAAACGUGUCAAGCAUCAAGUUGUAAUUUCAAACAGGCUGUGGCAGCCACAAAGUGAAGAUUGUGCUAUAAUCUUAUGUCACCUCUCAAUUCCCAAAACUGAGAAAAAACUUUAUCUUUUGCUAGCCAACGAACUUCAUGGUGUGUCAGGAUCCUAUACUUUUGUAAUUGUCUAUGACUAAAACCUGUGAGCUUUACUCAUCCAUUCUGACCCUGUGGCAUUAGCAGACUGGGCAUCAAACAUUAAAGAGGCUUGGCCUCACAAACCCUGGAGCAUGAUAAAGAAACAUACCAACACAAGGAGACAGAAAACAUGGGGCUAAUUGGAAUUUAAAGCCUGAACAAUCUAUAUAAUUAUCUACUAAGUUUCUGAAAACAAAACAGCCAUCCAAAAAGCUGGCUCCUAAAUAUAUUGGCACUGGUGGCACAGUGUGUUAAAGUGCUGAACUGCUGAACUUGCGGACCAAAAGGUCCCAGGUUCAAAUCCUGGGAGCGGAAUGAGCGCCUGCUGUUAACCCCAGCUCCUGCCAACCUAGCAGUUCGAAAACAUGCAAAUGUGAGUAGAUCAAUAGGUACCACUCCAGCGGGAAGGUAACGGUGCUCCAUGCAGUCAUGCCGGCCACAUGACCUUGGAGAUGUCUAUGGACAGCGCUGGCUCUUCGGCCUAGAAAUGGAGAUGAACACCAACCCCCAGACUCGGUCACGACUGGACUUUACCUUUAAAUAUAUUGGAACUUUUGUGAUUAAGAGAUUGGCUAAUGCAGUGACUGCUGAUUUGAAUCUUCCUAAAACCUAUAAACAUUUGCAUAUUAUUUUUCAUUUUAGCUUGUUGAAACCUGCAGCGGAGUCCAGUCCACCUCCGCCUUUGAUGAUUGAUGCUGCAGCAGCAUAGCUGCUCCAUUUUGGAGAGGAGAUGGGUUCAUCAGCCUUGAAGCUUUCAUCAUCUGCCUGCCCUGUUUCCCCAAAAAUAAGUCAUCCCCAGAAAAUAAGACCUAGUAGAGGUUUUGCUGAAUUGCUAAAUAUAAGACCUCCCCUGAAAGUAAGACCUAGUAAAGUUUGUGUUUGGAAGCAUGCCCGCUGAACAGAACACCAGAGCAUGCAGGAUCGGUAAAUGUACGUACCAUAGAUUGUUGAACAUGGAAAUAAUGGUAGUAACAAGACAUUCUUGAUAGGAUUCACAGUUUGUCUGGUUAUGCUGGUUUGUGAUGACAACUACUGUACAGUAUAUAAUAAAUGUUCUUUUUUUGUUCAACAAUAAA